This 464-nucleotide ribosomal RNA is filed under the name uncultured bacterium. RNAcentral's name for it is "partial 16S ribosomal RNA". It matches the Rfam family "Bacterial small subunit ribosomal RNA", at positions 339 to 795 of the family's 1533-position model. The record is from RNAcentral.
CUACGGUGGCACCAGUGGGGAAUAUUGGACAAUAGGGGAAACCCUGAUCCAGCAAUGCCGCGUGUGUGAAGAAGGCCUGCGGGUUGUAAAGCACUUUCGGUUGGGAGGACUGCUUCUAGCACUAAUAUUGUUGGAAGUUGACGUUACCUUCAGAAGAAGCACCGGCUAACUCCGUGCCAGCAGCCGCGGUAAUACGGAGGGUGCAAGCGUUAAUCGGAAUUACUGGGCGUAAAGCGCGCGUAGGCGGCUAGCUCAGUCGGGUGUGAAAGCCCCGGGCUUAACCUGGGAACUGCAUCCGAUACUGUCUAGCUUGAGUACAGGAGAGGAGAGUGGAAUUCCACAUGUAGCGGUGAAAUGCGUAGAUAUGUGGAGGAACACCAAUGGCGAAGGCAGCUCUCUGGCCUGAUACUGACGCUGAGGUGCGAAAGCGCGGGGAGCAAACAGGAUUAGAUACCCGGGUAGUC